CAAUAGCGUAUAUUAAAGUUGUUGCGGUUAAAAGCUCGUAGUUGGAUUUCUGCCUGAGGCAGCCGGUCCGCACUUAGUGCGUGUAUCUGGUUUGGUUUGGGCAUCCUCUUGGGGAUCGUUGCUGUGCUUAGUUGCAUGGUGCGGAAUUCAAGACGUUUACUUUGAGGAAAUUAGAGUGGUUACGGCAAGCUAUCGCUUUGAAUACAUUAGCAUGGAUAAUAAUAUAGGGCGUAAGUUCUAUCUUGUUGGUUUCUAGAACAUACGCAAUGAUUAAUAGGGACAAUUGGGGCGAUCGUAUUAAAGCGUCAGAGGUGGAAUUCUUAGAUUGCGUUACGACGAACUAACUAGCGAAAGACAUUUGUCCAAGG
RNAcentral lists this ribosomal RNA (368 nucleotides) under uncultured eukaryote. Its description in RNAcentral is "SSU rRNA". It matches the Rfam family "Eukaryotic small subunit ribosomal RNA", at positions 592 to 964 of the family's 1831-position model. The record is from RNAcentral.